RNAcentral lists this long non-coding RNA (879 nucleotides) under Homo sapiens (human). RNAcentral describes it as "HSALNT0235244". Lineage: Eukaryota; Metazoa; Chordata; Mammalia; Primates; Hominidae. The record is from RNAcentral.
AACCUCCAAGGCUGGGCUACUGAUCAUCCUCUUCCUACAGACGAGAGACUGCAGGCCUGGAGAUGGCACAGCCUGCUCAGGCCACACGGCCUGCAGGUGGCACUGCACUGCAGCAGCCGGGGACGGGCCUCACGUCCUCAGUGCCCCGUGAUGUCAUUUCAGUGUCGGAGCAGGGAGGGACCUGCUUGUUUUAGAGAAGGGGGUUCACCUGGGACACCCCUGAGCUUUGUCCCAAGCCUCAACAAGCCACUCACUUCCCACUUGGGAGUAGUUUCUCUGCACGCACCAGGCAGUGGGACCAGGGAAGAAAUCGCGUCCGCUAAGUGGUGUCGUCUGCCUGCAAGACCUGCACAGCUCCCAGGCCUAUGGCUUUGGGCACCAGUGGCCCUUCCCGGUCCUGGGCGUGGGGCGGGAGGCAGCCGUGCCCGGGAUUUCGCGCUGCCCCCGGCGUCUCCUUCCCCGUGCUUUUGUGACUUGAUCAGGGUAGAUUUAUUUUCCGAUCCACUGGUUUGUCAACAUGUCAAUUGACUUGCCUCCAUCUGCUUUUUCCCCAUGCCAGGACGGUGCCGGCUGAAAGGGAAGUGUCAGCUGUUCUUCUGUCUUUAAAAGGCAGCAAAGAAAAAAGCGCAGGGUUGGGUUUCGUAACGUCAGAGGAGGCCAAGGACACAGCAUGGAAUCUGACGGGAAACGCAUGUGGGCGAGGAGGUGAUGGGCUUCAAGGCGCGGCUCUCUGGUCGCAAGCCGCCUGUUCUCAGAAUACAGCUGGCUGUGUUGUAAUCGCACGCUGAUCUCACAAUAAAUAACGUGUGCAUGGAACGUGCCUUCAGAUGAGCGUGAAUUUUUACAGUGUGCACAAACAAAAUCCCCCAGCCUGGAGAG